This 399-nucleotide ribosomal RNA is filed under the name uncultured bacterium. RNAcentral's name for it is "bacterial SSU rRNA". It matches the Rfam family "Bacterial small subunit ribosomal RNA", at positions 975 to 1375 of the family's 1533-position model. The record is from RNAcentral.
CAGGGCUUAAAUGCAGGCUGCAUGGGGUAGAGAUACCCCUUUCUUCGGACUGCCUGCAAGGUGCUGCAUGGUUGUCGUCAGCUCGUGCCGUGAGGUGUCAGGUUAAGUCCUAUAACGAGCGCAACCCCUACCGUUAGUUGCCAGCAUGUCAAGAUGGGGACUCUAACGGGACUGCCGGUGCAAACCGUGAGGAAGGUGGGGACGACGUCAAAUCAUCACGGCCCUUACGUCCUGGGCCACACACGUGCUACAAUGGCCGGUACAGAGGGAAGCCACCCCGCAAGGGGGCGCGGAUCUAUAAAACCGGUCACAGUUCGGAUCGGGGUCUGCAACUCGACCCCGUGAAGCUGGAAUCGCUAGUAAUCGGAUAUCAGCCAUGAUCCGGUGAAUACGUUCCCC